GGUAGCCUCGGACCCCAGGAGGUGCUCGAGUAUGUCAGUGUUUGGCGUGCAUUGCAAGCCACUACCCUCACAUCCGAGCCAGACCGCAUCAUAUGGCGAUGGACUUCCAAUGGCGUCUACUCCGCUAGCUCGUGCUACAAAGCUCUCUUCCACGGUUCCACUUCAUCCCCAUGGUGGCGUCUUCUUUGGAAGAAUUGGGCGCCCAUGAACAACAAAAUCUUUCUCUGGCUUGCCUCCCUCGACAGGUGCUGGACGGCUGAGAGGCGGGCGCGCCAUGGCCUCACCAUCGACAUGGUGUGCGCCUUAUGCGCGCAAGAGAGCGAGUCCAUUGACCACCUACUCGUUGGGUGCGUCUUCUCCAGGAUCACAUGGCAUGAAAUCCUGUCGUGGUGCCGACUCAUUACCCCACCGAUGGAUGGUGACACCACCUUCUUCACAUGGUGGUCCAAGGCCGUUGAUGAAUCCUCGGGCUGCCUACGGAAGGGCCUCAACUCCAUCAUGGCACUCUCCGCUUGGUCCAUUUGGAAGCACCGCAAUGCGGUCAUCUUCGAGAACCGGUGCCCCUCCACUGAAGACCUUAUACGUUCGAUUAAAGACGAUGCCCGCCUCUGGCUAAGGCGGGUGCCCGAGGGCUUGCUGCGAUUAUCCCUGUAA
RNAcentral lists this ribosomal RNA (654 nucleotides) under Triticum aestivum (bread wheat). RNAcentral's name for it is "partial small subunit ribosomal RNA". The record is from RNAcentral. Lineage: Eukaryota; Viridiplantae; Streptophyta; Magnoliopsida; Poales; Poaceae.